GAUGAACGCUGGCGGCGUGCUUAACACAUGCAAGUCGAACGGAAAGGCCCAAGCUUGCUUGGGUACUCGAGUGGCGAACGGGUGAGUAACACGUGGGUGAUCUGCCCUGCACUUCGGGAUAAGCCUGGGAAACUGGGUCUAAUACUGGAUAGGACCACUUCUUGGAUGUUGUGGUGGAAAGUUUUUUCGGUGUGGGAUGAGCUCGCGGCCUAUCAGCUUGUUGGUGGGGUAAUGGCCUACCAAGGCGUCGACGGGUAGCCGGCCUGAGAGGGUGUACGGCCACAUUGGGACUGAGAUACGGCCCAGACUCCUACGGGAGGCAGCAGUGAGGAAUAUUGCACAAUGGGCGCAAGCCUGAUGCAGCGACGCCGCGUGGGGGAUGACGGCCUUCGGGUUGUAAACUCCUUUCGCUAGGGACGAAGCGUUUUGUGACGGUACCUGGAGAAGAAGCACCGGCUAACUACGUG
RNAcentral lists this ribosomal RNA (467 nucleotides) under uncultured bacterium. RNAcentral's name for it is "partial 16S ribosomal RNA". It matches the Rfam family "Bacterial small subunit ribosomal RNA", at positions 28 to 507 of the family's 1533-position model. The record is from RNAcentral.